Molecule: ribosomal RNA, 490 nt
Filed under: uncultured bacterium
Lineage: Bacteria
Description: bacterial SSU rRNA
Rfam family: Bacterial small subunit ribosomal RNA
Source: RNAcentral
GAUGAACGCUAGCGGCAGGCUUAACACAUGCAAGUCGAGGGGCAGCAUGACGGAACCUUCGGGUUUUGUUGAUGGCGACCGGCGCAAGGGUGCGUAACGCGUGAGCAACUUGCCCGUUUCAGGGGGGAUAACCGGUGGAAACGCCGACUAAUACCCCAUAGCAUCACAUUGAGGCAUCUUUAUGUGAUUAAAGAAUUUCGGAAACGGAUAGGCUCGCGUGACAUUAGCUAGAUGGCGGGGUAACGGCCCACCAUGGCGACGAUCGGUAGCCGGACUGAGAGGUUGAACGGCCACAUUGGGACUGAGACACGGCCCAUACUCCUACGGGAGGCAGCAGUAGGGAAUUUUGCGCAAUGGGCGAAAGCCUGACGCAGCAACGCCGCGUGAUUGAUGAAGGUUUUCGGACCGUAAAGCUCUUUGUUAUGACGAAUGUGCAUGAUGUGAAUAAUGUUGUGUAAUGACGGUAGUAAACGAUAAGCCACGGCUAACU